UCGAGAAUCUUUCACAAUGGGCGAAAGCCUGAUGGAGCGACGCCGCGUGGAGGAUGAAGGCCUUCGGGUUGUAAACUCCUGUCAUGAGGGAACAAGAAAGUGAUAGUACCUCAAGAGGAAGAGACGGCUAACUCUGUGCCAGCAGCCGCGGUAAUACAGAGGUCUCAAGCGUUGUUCGGAUUUACUGGGCGUAAAGGGUGCGUAGGCGGUGGCGUAAGUCGAGUGUGAAAUCUUCCGGCCUAACCGGAAAACUGCACUCGAUACUGCGUCACUAGAGGACUGUAGAGGAGACUGGAAUUCACGGUGUAGCAGUGAAAUGCGUAGAUAUCGUGAGGAAGACCGGUGGCGAAAGCGAGUCUCUGGGCAGUUCCUGACGCUGAGGCACGAAGGCUAGGGGAGCAAACGGGAUUAGAUACCCCCGUAGUCCCUGAG
Molecule: ribosomal RNA, 432 nt
Filed under: uncultured bacterium
Lineage: Bacteria
Description: bacterial SSU rRNA
Rfam family: Bacterial small subunit ribosomal RNA
Source: RNAcentral